RNAcentral lists this long non-coding RNA (819 nucleotides) under Mus spicilegus (steppe mouse). Its description in RNAcentral is "lncRNA (ENSMSIG00000021436.1)". The record is from RNAcentral. Lineage: Eukaryota; Metazoa; Chordata; Mammalia; Rodentia; Muridae.
CAGAAAUCUAAUUUGUUGGAGUUCAAUGACUACAGAAGCCUUUACCCAGGAUGCUGAGCUUGGAGAGGUACUCAGAGACAUCCUACAUCAGUGCCCUAAACAUCACACUAGCAACAUUAUCACUUCAUCCCCACUGAGGAAGGAACGUGGGUACAUUCAGGGGGAGACUGCCCAGUGACCUUAGCUGACAUCUUUCAAUACAGAAAUGGUUUUGUUGUUAGUGACUGCUGCGGCUGGCUAAGGACAUCCCAGGAGAAAGAAUACGAAGAGGCUCUUCAGCAAGGCAACUAGACACGAUGCUAUGAGCAUCAACAAAGGCUUUUGAACGUGUCAUUAAAAGAAGACAAAAGUAAUUCCUCCCUCCAAGUAAUGAGGCCCAUGGAUUCCAAAGAAGAUCUGUCUCCCCCACAUUCUUUUCUCCACUGGAGGCCAAGUUGGAGGUCAGAGCAUCUGCCCCAGCAUCCCUAGUGGAGAGAGAGGACUAAGUUAACUCCUCCCCUUUUCCUCUUCUUGUAUCGAAGUUGAUUCUGAUGCCAGACUCCACUACCUGCCACUAUCAUGGCUGUGCUGUGACCCUUGUUGCCUGUUUUGAUUGGGGCUAUUGUGGCUCAGAGUAAUAGAACUCUUGACAGUUGUUUAAAAUUGAUAUUUUCCUUUCUCACAUAACAUUUUAGAGGCAGUCGGGUCAAGACUAGCACAGCGAUUCACCAUUGCUGGAAGGGCCAGCUCUUUCCUUCUGUCCUCACAGCAGAUUGAGGUGUUGCCUCAAGAUAAUGAUUUUAUGAUCUUGUCUCCAAACAAAUAAAAAAAAACAACCCA